RNAcentral lists this ribosomal RNA (1538 nucleotides) under Escherichia coli. RNAcentral describes it as "bacterial SSU rRNA". It matches the Rfam family "Bacterial small subunit ribosomal RNA". Lineage: Bacteria; Pseudomonadati; Pseudomonadota; Gammaproteobacteria; Enterobacterales; Enterobacteriaceae. The record is from RNAcentral.
UUGAAGAGUUUGAUCAUGGCUCAGAUUGAACGCUGGCGGCAGGCCUAACACAUGCAAGUCGAACGGUAACAGGAAGCAGCUUGCUGCUUCGCUGACGAGUGGCGGACGGGUGAGUAAUGUCUGGGAAACUGCCUGAUGGAGGGGGAUAACUACUGGAAACGGUAGCUAAUACCGCAUAACGUCGCAAGACCAAAGAGGGGGACCUUCGGGCCUCUUGCCAUCGGAUGUGCCCAGAUGGGAUUAGCUUGUUGGUGGGGUAACGGCUCACCAAGGCGACGAUCCCUAGCUGGUCUGAGAGGAUGACCAGCCACACUGGAACUGAGACACGGUCCAGACUCCUACGGGAGGCAGCAGUGGGGAAUAUUGCACAAUGGGCGCAAGCCUGAUGCAGCCAUGCCGCGUGUAUGAAGAAGGCCUUCGGGUUGUAAAGUACUUUCAGCGGGGAGGAAGGGAGUAAAGUUAAUACCUUUACUCAUUGACGUUACCCGCAGAAGAAGCACCGGCUAACUCCGUGCCAGCAGCCGCGGUAAUACGGAGGGUGCAAGCGUUAAUCGGAAUUACUGGGCGUAAAGCGCACGCAGGCGGUUUGUUAAGUCAGAUGUGAAAUCCCCGGGCUCAACCUGGGAACUGCAUCUGAUACUGGCAAGCUUGAGUCUCGUAGAGGGGGGUAGAAUUCCAGGUGUAGCGGUGAAAUGCGUAGAGAUCUGGAGGAAUACCGGUGGCGAAGGCGGCCCCCUGGACGAAGACUGACGCUCAGGUGCGAAAGCGUGGGGAGCAAACAGGAUUAGAUACCCUGGUAGUCCACGCCGUAAACGAUGUCGACUUGGAGGUUGUGCCCUUGAGGCGUGGCUUCCGGAGCUAACGCGUUAAGUCUACCGCCUGGGGAGUACGGCCGCAAGGUUAAAACUCAAAUGAAUUGACGGGGGCCCGCACAAGCGGUGGAGCAUGUGGUUUAAUUCGAUGCAACGCGAAGAACCUUACCUGGUCUUGACAUCCACGGAAGUUUUCAGAGAUGAGAAUGUGCCUUCGGGAACCGUGAGACAGGUGCUGCAUGGCUGUCGUCAGCUCGUGUUGUGAAAUGUUGGGUUAAGUCCCGCAACGAGCGCAACCCUUAUCCUUUGUUGCCAGCGGUCCGGCCGGGAACUCAAAGGAGACUGCCAGUGAUAAACUGGAGGAAGGUGGGGAUGACGUCAAGUCAUCAUGGCCCUUACGACCAGGGCUACACACGUGCUACAAUGGCGCAUACAAAGAGAAGCGACCUCGCGAGAGCAAGCGGACCUCAUAAAGUGCGUCGUAGUCCGGAUUGGAGUCUGCAACUCGACUCCAUGAAGUCGGAAUCGCUAGUAAUCGUGGAUCAGAAUGCCACGGUGAAUACGUUCCCGGGCCUUGUACACACCGCCCGUCACACCAUGGGAGUGGGUUGCAAAAGAAGUAGGUAGCUUAACCUUCGGGAGGGCGCUUACCACUUUGUGAUUCAUGACUGGGGUGAAGUCGUAACAAGGUAACCGUAGGGGAACCUGCGGUUGGAUCACCUCCUU